Molecule: ribosomal RNA, 497 nt
Filed under: uncultured bacterium
Lineage: Bacteria
Description: partial 16S ribosomal RNA
Rfam family: Bacterial small subunit ribosomal RNA
Source: RNAcentral
GAUGAACGCUGGCGGCGUGCCUAAUACAUGCAAGUCGAGCGAACGGACGAGAAGCUUGCUUUUCUGAUGUUAGCGGCGGACGGGUGUGUAACACGUGGAUAACCUACCUAUAAGACUGGGAUAACUUCGGGAAACCGGAGCUAAUACCGGAUAAUAUUUUGAACCGCAUGGUUCAAAAGUGAAAGACGGUCUUGCUGUCACUUAUAGAUGGAUCCGCGCUGCAUUAGCUAGUUGGUAAGGUAACGGCUUACCAAGGCAACGAUGCAUAGCCGACCUGAGAGGGUGAUCGGCCACACUGGAACUGAGACACGGUCCAGACUCCUACGGGAGGCAGCAGUAGGGAAUCUUCCGCAAUGGGCGAAAGCCUGACGGAGCAACGCCGCGUGAGUGAUGAAGGUCUUCGGAUCGUAAAACUCUGUUAUUAGGGAAGAACAUAUGUGUAAGUAACUGUGCACAUCUUGACGGUACCUAAUCAGAAAGCCACGGCUAACUACGUG